GCAAGUCGAACGAUAAGCCACCUUCGGGUGGUGGACAGUGGCGCACGGGUGAGUAACACGUGGGGACCUGCCUGAUAGUAAGGAAAACAGUUGGAAACGACUGCUAAUACCUUAUACGCCCUUCGGGGUAAAGAUUUAUCGCUAUCAGAUGGACCCGCGCUAGAUUAGAUAGUUGGUGAGGUAAUGGCUCACCAAGGCUACGAUCUAUAGCUGGUUUGAGAAGAUGAUC
RNAcentral lists this ribosomal RNA (229 nucleotides) under uncultured bacterium. RNAcentral describes it as "partial 16S ribosomal RNA". It matches the Rfam family "Bacterial small subunit ribosomal RNA", at positions 57 to 305 of the family's 1533-position model. The record is from RNAcentral.